UGAGCAAUCUGCCCUUCACAUCGGAAUAACCAUUGGAAACGAUGGCUAAUACCGAGUAUGACUUCGGAUCGCAUGAUCUGAAGUGGAAAGCUCCGGCGGUGAAGGAUGAGCUCGCGGCCUAUCAGCUAGUUGGUGUGGGUAAUGGCCCACCAAGGCGACGACGGGUAGCCGGCCUGAGAGGGUCGACCCGGCCACACGUGGGACUGAGAUACCGGCCCAGACUCCCGUAACGGGG
This 235-nucleotide ribosomal RNA is filed under the name uncultured bacterium. Its description in RNAcentral is "partial 16S ribosomal RNA". It matches the Rfam family "Bacterial small subunit ribosomal RNA", at positions 118 to 346 of the family's 1533-position model. The record is from RNAcentral.